AAUGGGUUCUAUUCCCAAACCGUGUAUACAUACCUUUGUUGCUUUGGCAGGCCGCCUUUUAGGCGUCGGCUCCGGCUGACUGCGCUUGCCAGAGGACCCAAACUCGUUUGUUUAGUGAUGUCUGAGUACUAUACAAUAGUUAAAACUUUCAACAACGGAUCUCUUGGUUCUGGCAUCGAUGAAGAACGCAGCGAAAUGCGAUAAGUAAUGUGAAUUGCAGAAUUCAGUGAAUCAUCGAAUCUUUGAACGCACAUUGCGCCCCUUGGUAUUCCGAGGGGCAUGCCUGUUCGAGCGUCAUUAUAACCACUCAAGCCUCGGCUUGGUCUUGGGGUUCGCGGUCUCGCGGCCCUUAAAAUCAGUGGCGGUGCCGUCUGGCUCUAAGCGUAGUAAUUCUCUCGCUAUAGAGUCCCGGUGGCUACCUGCCAGAACCCCCCAUUUUUUACGGU
This 446-nucleotide ribosomal RNA is filed under the name Hyaloscypha sp. 2015-1. Its description in RNAcentral is "eukaryotic LSU rRNA". The stretch from base 144 to 297 matches the Rfam family "5.8S ribosomal RNA". The record is from RNAcentral. Lineage: Eukaryota; Fungi; Ascomycota; Leotiomycetes; Helotiales; Hyaloscyphaceae.